Phyllostomus discolor (pale spear-nosed bat) is the source of this 3384-nucleotide long non-coding RNA. RefSeq lists it as uncharacterized. The record is from RefSeq and is a predicted model, not a curated record. The transcript has 3 exons. Lineage: Eukaryota; Metazoa; Chordata; Mammalia; Chiroptera; Phyllostomidae.
UAUUUGUCUGCGUGUCUGUUUUCCCCACCAGACCUUCCAUAAUCUUGUGACUGAACAACUGAAUAAUGAAGCCUGAGCCCACAUAAGAACUCCAAAAGAGAGAAGAGCACUAGCAUUCCUUCCUCACCAACCACUCUGGGGAAGCUGGUGACUUCAAGAACUCAGCAAAGGUAAGAUUGUGAGCAGAAAGGAAGGCGGCAUUUUAAUCUAUGAAAAGGGAAAGAAGUUGACAUAUAUUUAUUGACCAGUCAUUGUAAAGUAAUCUCUUUAAUAUCUGAGUGCAGUAUUUAAACUGCCAUAUUAUUCACUGUUCUGGGGUGAAUUGUAUGCCCCCCCCCCAAAAUAUACUUAUCUGUUUGAAGUUCUAAGUCCUAAACCCCAGCACCUCAAAGUGUGACUGUAUUUGGAGACAGGGCCUUUAAAGAGAUAUGAAGGGGAAAUGAUGUCAUAUGAGUGAGUGCUAAGCCAAUACGACUGGUGUCCUGACAGGAAGAGGAGGUUGGGACACAGACAGGCACACAGGGAAGGCCCCGGUGAAGACGACCGAGGUAAGCUAGGAAGACAGGGCCUACAAGGAAUAAACCCUGCUGACACUCUGACCUUGGAAUUUUAGUUUCCAGAACUGUGAAGAAAUAAAUUUCUGGUUUUUUUUCUAGAAUCUGUGGUGCUUUGUUGUAGCAGCCCUAGCAAAUACAUGCAUUCUCAUGAAAUUAAGGACUUGCUAAUAAACUGGAAUUUAUAAUGUGAUUUACUAGAGCACAUGUUUAGGGCACUAGGAUUUUUCUGGCCACUGUGAAGUCUGGAAAUACAUAAAAAUAGUCUGAGAAUCUCUCUCAGUGAGAUACAGAUACCUACCGAACACCUAGAAUGAAAAUGCUCAGAAACAUCAUCACUUUCCUCUUCCCUUCCUACAGCAGGAAAUCAGUAAGUAUAAAGAUGGGCAAGACAUAAAGGCAAUAGCACCGGUGGUUGGUUUAAGUGAACUUUCCCAUAAAGAGGAACACAACUGGGAGGGAUCAAAUUAUUCAGCAGAAAACACUGCUCCAUGGAAAACCCAAAUUGCUUGUCACACACCUUGGUUCUGUAUUUGGGCAAAAUAUAAUAGUAGGAGAAAAAGUUUAUGAGAUUUGAAUUUCUUAUACAACCACAAUUCACAGGACACAAUAGCAGGACAAACCUGGUGGUGAUCUUAUAAUAGAACUGGUACCCUUUUUCCAGACAGUAUUCAAAUAUGGAUAAAAUUGUGUCAUUUUACAAUUCCUAACAGAGUUUAGGCUAGUUAUGACACCCUACUUUUCUAAUUUUAACCAUCCAAAAUAGGGGUGGAUGCUUCCCAGGCCUCUGUAAACCACAAUGAACAUGAAUUUUGUUCAACAAACAUUUGUUAAGAUACCAAUGUGCACCAUAUACACUAUGCAGGACUCAAAGGGAAUAAAAAUAAAGAGAAAUCCUCUUUGCCUUCAAGGAACUUGUAGUCUAGUGGUGAGACAGACACAUAAGCAAACAAAGUUAAAAUAGAAUACUUUAAGAGGUAUGCAUAACUCACUGUGGGAACACAGAGGUGAGGCCCUUGGCUGUCCCUGGGGAUUCAGGGACACCUGGGUUAGAAAUAAUUGUAAAAAAAAAAAAAUGGGAGGAGCAUUACAGGCAGAGGGGACAAUGGGAACAAAGGUUAACUGUAAAAUCCCAAGUGUUUGAAGACAGGGAGGGUGUCUGAAAGAUAUAAAAGUAAAAGAUAUAAAAAGGAUCAAAGUCUAAGGAUUUAUGAAAAGAUGGUUGAAGUUUUCCAGCCCAGAUUCAAUCUGGAAGUUAUACUUUAUUCCAGAGCCAAUACAGGGUAUGAGCAGCAAAGAAAGACCCAGCAGGACUACCCCACAGUGCUCAGAUCUGUCAGACAGAAGAGCAGUGCCAUGCAAAGAGAGCCUAGUCUCAGCCCCCUGAGGAACUGCAGCAAGUAUCUUGCAAAACCGCUGCUGGAAAAACAUAAAAGUUCCUCAAACACCAAAAACAAAACAAAAAAAAAACACACCACUGGAUAAAAACAAAAUACCUGGAUGAAGAUUGUAUUUUUUCAACUACUAGUGAAGUAUCUACAGGUAGACUGAAAAUUCUCUGCAACCUGCAUUACAAGAUGCACAGGUUCCAGUGCAUUCAACUGUUGCUCAAGGGCAGGUGGGAGAUGAAGAGACUAGCAACAAACCAAGAUUCAGAAAGCAACAUUUUGAACAAGUUACAGAGCACCCAAUUUCAUCAACCACCACACCCUAGUGAGUUUCUACCGGCUCUAAUGAGAUAGGUUGGUUAUUAAUGCCAGACACUUGGAGCACACAGAGUCCAGAGUCUGCCACAUGCAGGCUUCAGCUUAGGUUUUCUGAAUGGUAAACAGUAUGUCUCACGCAGUUAGGUUCUAUUGUUCCCAAUCAUCUUUGUACGGUCUGUAUACACUUGUCAUUAAAAAGCAAAAUAAAAACCUCCUUCAGAUAUUGUUGCAGAUGUCUGUCUAAACCAGGCAGACAUCAGCUGCUAAUUAUAGUCAAGAUUCUGGUGUUUAAUGUAAGCAUUCGAUGUAAGCAGUGUGGUCCUCCCCAGGAAUGAAGCUUAUUUCCAGCAAAAGCACUGAUUCCUACUGAUGACCUUGGUAAGAUGAUGUUCCUUAUAGUUUGUUGAAGAAGUUAGGAAAAAAACGUAUAUCCAGACUCUUUAGAAAAUAAUUAAAAACAAGGUCUAGGCCUUAAAAGACUUAACUUUUAGUCUAGAAAAAAUCUCUUUUCUCAUAUCCAUCCCCCUCCUCCCAACCAACCUCCAUGAUGUAAUGUAACUAUAAAUAUUCUACCAGGGUUUCUCUGUGUCUCUAGCAAAACAGGGUUUUAUUGUAAUGAUGUAGAAUCUCUUGUUCUCUCUCCCCUUUCUUGUCCUCUCAUCGUGGCAUUUCCUGCCAUCCUGUGUCUGGUUUAAAGGGAACACAGCUGGCAUCCCCUGAGCUACCAUCAUGGUACACUCUUUUCACGCCCCCAUAGUAGCAAAAGCAGCCAGACAGGUAGAGAAGACAUGGACAUUUCUCUGUGGCAGAGCAGUCAUACCUCAUGCCCAGACCGAGUACUUAGCUAGAAUUGGCAGAGCUGAUGACUUAUUCCUCUCUCUUUCCAAGAUGUGCCUUCUGGAACUGCUACCUCUAAUUGUGAGAGUCCUAAACCCUUGAAAGGGACCAUCCCUUCCAAGAAACCUUCCCAGAUGUCUCCAUACAGUAUGAUUGGUUCCACCUGCCCCUGUUCCUUUGUUAUACUCUGUUGCCGUGAGAGUACCUGCCACAGUCUGCCACUGAUACACACAGAAGAUGGUGAGCUCCUCAGAGAUUCUAUGGCUAUUCUGAAAUUUUGAAGUUGC